GGCGGCGUGCUUAACACAUGCAAGUCGAACGGAAAGGCCCUUCGGGGUACUCGAGUGGCGAACGGGUGAGUAACACGUGGGUGAUCUGCCCUGCACUUCGGGAUAAGCCUGGGAAACUGGGUCUAAUACCGGAUAUGAUCAUUGGCUUCAUGGCUGGUGGUGGAAAGCUUUUGCGGUGUGGGAUGGGCCCGCGGCCUAUCAGCUUGUUGGUGGGGUAAUGGCCUACCAAGGCGACGACGGGUAGCCGGCCUGAGAGGGUGACCGGCCACACUGGGACUGAGAUACGGCCCAGACUCCUACGGGAGGCAGCAGUGGGGAAUAUUGCACAAUGGGCGCAAGCCUGAUGCAGCGACGCCGCGUGAGGGACGACGGCCUUCGGGUUGUAAACCUCUUUCAGCACAGACGAAGCGCAAGUGACGGUAUGUGCAGAAGAAGGACCGGCCAACUACGUGCCAGCAGCCGCGGUAAUACGUAGGGUCCGAGCGUUGUCCGGAAUUACUGGGCGUAAAGAGCUCGUAGGUGGUUUGUCGCGUUGUUCGUGAAAACUCACAGCUUAACUGUGGGCGUGCGGGCGAUACGGGCAGACUGGAGUACUGCAGGGGAGACUGGAAUUCCUGGUGUAGCGGUGGAAUGCGCAGAUAUCAGGAGGAACACCGGUGGCGAAGGCGGGUCUCUGGGCAGUAACUGACGCUGAGGAGCGAAAGCGUGGGGAGCGAACAGGAUUAGAUACCCUGGUAGUCCACGCCGUAAACGGUGGGUACUAGGUGUGGGUUUCCUUCCUUGGGAUCCGUGCCGUAGCUAACGCAUUAAGUACCCC
Molecule: ribosomal RNA, 817 nt
Filed under: actinobacterium KV-559
Lineage: Bacteria; Bacillati; Actinomycetota; Actinomycetes
Description: bacterial SSU rRNA
Rfam family: Bacterial small subunit ribosomal RNA
Source: RNAcentral